UACGGAGGGCGCAAGCGUUACUCGGAAUCACUGGGCGUAAAGAGCGUGUAGGCGGAUAGAUAAGUCAGGAGUGAAAUCCUAUGGCUCAACCAUAGAACUGCUCUUGAAACUGUCUAUCUAGAAUAUGGGAGAGGUAGAUGGAAUUUCUGGUGUAGGGGUAAAAUCCGUAGAGAUCAGAAGGAAUACCGAUUGCGAAGGCGAUCUACUGGAACAUUAUUGACGCUGAGACGCGAAAGCGUGGGGAGCAAACAGGAUUAGAUACCCUGGUAGUCCGCGCCCUAAACGAUGUACACUAGUUGUUGUGAGGCUCGACCUUGCAGUAAUGCAGUUAACACAUUAAGUGUACCGCCUGGGGAGUACGGUCGCAAGAUUAAAACUCAAAGGAAUAGACGGGGACCCGCACAAGCGGUGGAGCAUGUGGUUUAAUUCGACGAUACACGAAGAACCUUACCUGGUCUUGACAUACUAAGAACCUUUAAGAGAUUAGAGGGUGCUAGCUUGCUAGAACUUAGAUACAGGUGCUGCACGGCUGUCGUCAGCUCGUGUCGUGAGAUGUUGGGUUAAGUCCCGCAACGAGCGCAACCCUCGUCGUUAGUUGCUAACAGUUCGGCUGAGAACUCUAACGAGACUGCCUACGCAAGUAGGAGGAAGGUGAGGACGACGUCAAGUCAUCAUGGCCCUUACGACCAGGGCUACACACGUGCUACAAUGGGGUAUACAAAGAGCAGCAAUACAGUGAUGUGGAGCAAAUCUCAAAAAUGCCUCCCAGUUCGGAUUGUAGUCUGCAACUCGACUACAUGAAGUUGGAAUCGCUAGUAAUCGUAGAUCAGCUAUGCUACGGUGAAUACGUUCCCGGGUCU
RNAcentral lists this ribosomal RNA (860 nucleotides) under uncultured bacterium. Its description in RNAcentral is "SSU rRNA". It matches the Rfam family "Bacterial small subunit ribosomal RNA", at positions 524 to 1381 of the family's 1533-position model. The record is from RNAcentral.